UACGUAGGGUGCAAGCGUUGUCCGGAAUUAUUGGGCGUAAAGGGCUCGUAGGCGGUCCGUCACGUCGGGCGUGAAAUCCUGGGGCUUAACCCCAGAACUGCUUCCGAUACGGGCAGACUAGAGGUAGGUAGGGGAGAAUGGAAUUCCUGGUGUAGCGGUGGAAUGCGCAGAUAUCAGGAGGAACACCAGUGGCGAAGGCGGUUCUCUGGGCCUUACCUGACGCUGAGGAGCGAAAGCGUGGGGAGCAAACAGG
This 253-nucleotide ribosomal RNA is filed under the name uncultured bacterium. Its description in RNAcentral is "partial 16S ribosomal RNA". It matches the Rfam family "Bacterial small subunit ribosomal RNA", at positions 524 to 776 of the family's 1533-position model. The record is from RNAcentral.